This 253-nucleotide ribosomal RNA is filed under the name uncultured bacterium. RNAcentral's name for it is "partial 16S ribosomal RNA". It matches the Rfam family "Bacterial small subunit ribosomal RNA", at positions 524 to 776 of the family's 1533-position model. The record is from RNAcentral.
UACGGAGGGGGCUAGCGUUGUUCGGAGUCACUGGGCGUAAAGCGCACGUAGGCGGACCAUUAAGUCGGGGGUGAAAUCCCGGGGCUCAACCCCGGAACUGCCUUCGAUACUGGCGGUCUGGAGGUCGAGAGAGGCGAGUGGAAUUCCGAGUGUAGAGGUGAAAUUCGUAGAUAUUCGGAGGAACACCAGUGGCGAAGGCGGCUCGCUGGCUCGAUACUGACGCUGAGGUGCGAAAGCGUGGGGAGCAAACAGG